This is a long non-coding RNA of Mytilus trossulus (common blue mussel), 618 nucleotides long. RefSeq lists it as uncharacterized. The record is from RefSeq and is a predicted model, not a curated record. Lineage: Eukaryota; Metazoa; Mollusca; Bivalvia; Mytilida; Mytilidae. The transcript has 2 exons.
UGUAGGGUUUUUUUUCAUUUCCAUUUAAUAUAAGCAGAACAAAUCCUAUAAGUACCAGAUGAUUUCAAAAGAAAAUUUGUUGUCCAUAUAUUGUACAGCUGAAGGUGAAUUUUUGUCAAUCAAUCAUUACGGGGAAUGGACCCAAGGAUGAAGAAAAUCUCCAAAAUGUCAAUUUUUCCUACUGUAUGAAGUGGACCUUUAAUAUUCUUUAGGUUUUUUUUGUAAAUAUGACAAAGACAGAUUGAUAUUCUGUGUUAUACAAAAAAAAAAUGGCAAAAACUUGUGCAGCAAAGGGUUGACUUGCCCUUUUGAUUGGCUAUGGUUUGACUCUCACCCCUUUGGAUGGUCAUUUGCUAUAGCCAUGGGUAAUCUUGCUCUCAUUGUGGCCAUCUGUUAUCUUAUUCUGUUUUUGGCCAUGUGUAAACUUGUUUCGUUUUUGAGCAGGUGAUAAAGAGCAGAAUCCAAAAGCUGUAAUGUACAAUAACAAAAGAAUUUAAUCCAAUAUCUGGUGAAAGAAAUGUAAAAGAGUGAAUUAUUUGAUGAGUACUGUGUUGUUGAUUAUGUAGAUUUUGUUAUACAUGUCCUGUAUAUUGUGAUUAAAGCUGUAUAUUAGCUUCA